GCUCUUGUAGCUCAACGGAUAGAGCGUCGGUUUGCGGAACCGGAGGUUAGAGGUUCGAUUCCUCUCAAGGGCG
RNAcentral lists this transfer RNA (73 nucleotides) under Candidatus Roizmanbacteria bacterium RIFCSPHIGHO2_01_FULL_38_41. RNAcentral's name for it is "tRNA-Arg". It matches the Rfam family "tRNA". Rfam says of the family: Transfer RNA (tRNA) molecules are approximately 80 nucleotides in length. Their secondary structure includes four short double-helical elements and three loops (D, anti-codon, and T loops). The record is from RNAcentral. Lineage: Bacteria; Candidatus Roizmaniibacteriota. RNAcentral also lists the same sequence under 3 other names.